RNAcentral lists this ribosomal RNA (460 nucleotides) under uncultured bacterium. Its description in RNAcentral is "partial 16S ribosomal RNA". It matches the Rfam family "Bacterial small subunit ribosomal RNA", at positions 338 to 795 of the family's 1533-position model. The record is from RNAcentral.
CCUACGGGUGGCAGCAGUGAGGAAUAUUGGUCAAUGGACGAGAGUCUGAACCAGCCAAGUAGCGUGAAGGAUGACUGCCCUAUGGGUUGUAAACUUCUUUUAUAUGGGAAUAAAAUGUUCCACGUGUGGGAUUUUGUAUGUACCAUAUGAAUAAGGAUCGGCUAACACCGUGCCAGCAGCCGCGGUAAUAAGGAGGAUCCGAGCGUUAACCGGAUUUAUUGGGUUUAAAGGGAGCGUAGGUGGAUUGUUAAGUCAGUUGUGAAAGUUUGCGGCUCAACCGUAAAAUUGCAGUUGAAACUGGCAGUCUUGAGUACAGUAGAGGUGGGCGGAAUUCGUGGUGUAGCGGUGAAAUGCUUAGAUAUCACGAAGAACUCCGAUUGCGAAGGCAGUUCACUGGACUGCAACUGACACUGAGGCUCGAAAGUGUGGGUAUCAAACAGGAUUAGAUACCCCAGUAGUC